Molecule: ribosomal RNA, 505 nt
Filed under: uncultured bacterium
Lineage: Bacteria
Description: partial 16S ribosomal RNA
Rfam family: Bacterial small subunit ribosomal RNA
Source: RNAcentral
GACGAACGCUGGCGGCGUGCCUAAUACAUGCAAGUAGAACGCACAGUUUAUACCGUAGCUUGCUACACCAUAGACUGUGAGUUGCGAACGGGUGAGUAACGCGUAGGUAACCUGCCUGGUAGCGGGGGAUAACUAUUGGAAACGAUAGCUAAUACCGCAUAAUAUUGAUUAUUGCAUGAUAAUUGAUUGAAAGAUGCUAUUGCAUCACUACCAGAUGGACCUGCGUUGUAUUAGCUAGUAGGUGAGGUAACGGCUCACCUAGGCGACGAUACAUAGCCGACCUGAGAGGGUGAUCGGCCACACUGGGACUGAGACACGGCCCAGACCCCUACGGGAGGCAGCAGUAGGGAAUCUUCGGCAAUGGACGAAAGUCUGACCGAGCAACGCCGGGUGAGGGAAGAAGGUUUUCGGAUCGUAAAGCUCUGUUGUAAGAGAAGAACGGGUGUGAGAGUGGAAAGUUCACACUGUGACGGUAUCUUACCAGAAAGGGACGGCUAACUACGUG